CUAAAAAGCUACAAAUUGAAGAACUGAUCCUUUAGUUGAUGUCACUGACAGGGAUGUAACAUUUGGCACAACUCCUCAGACAGUGGAUGGAAUGACUGAUUCCUUAAAGUUUUUCCUUUAAGUUCCCAAAGUUUUUGCAUCAACAUGAGGUGUAUACUUCUGACUGCAGCAUCUAAAAUCCAAUUUUCUGUGAGAAAACGUAAUUAAGCAUCAUAGUGUGUUAAUGGAGUUUCUACCGUGUAUCCUUUACAUCCCACCGUAUUGUUACACUGUCUGUAUGUAUGUACAUACGUGAAUGAAUGGAAAUUCUUUUAACACAGAUAACGUGGUAUUUUGUUUUGUAUAGUUUAAACUAGAUUUGUGAAAAAAUAACACUUCACUGAAAGCUUAAACCAGAAAGCCAAAAAUGUAUGUUAUUCUUUGAUAACUAAUGUGAAACUGACAGCAGCUGUGGUAAUGUUAAAGUUCACCACCCAGAGUUGUAGUAGUUAGAGAGAUAUGCUUCAAGCAGAAGACUAGUGCUUGCAUGAGCAAAAGUACUGAAAACUUGAAACUGAGUUUUUAUUUCAUACACACCAUACUUUAGUGUAGUAUUCGACUGUUGCCUUUUUGUAUCCAGGUAUUCUGCUGAUGUCACCACAGCUUAAAGAGGCACAUUGAUAUU
Etheostoma cragini (Arkansas darter) is the source of this 664-nucleotide long non-coding RNA. RefSeq lists it as uncharacterized. The record is from RefSeq and is a predicted model, not a curated record. The transcript has 3 exons. Lineage: Eukaryota; Metazoa; Chordata; Actinopteri; Perciformes; Percidae.